This 465-nucleotide ribosomal RNA is filed under the name uncultured bacterium. RNAcentral describes it as "partial 16S ribosomal RNA". It matches the Rfam family "Bacterial small subunit ribosomal RNA", at positions 28 to 507 of the family's 1533-position model. The record is from RNAcentral.
GACGAACGCUGGCGGCGUGCUUAACACAUGCAAGUCGAACGGAAAGGCCCCUUUGGGGGUACUCGAGUGGCGAACGGGUGAGUAACACGUGAGUAACCUGCCCUUGACUUCGGGAUAACUUCAGGAAACUGGGGCUAAUACCGGAUAGGAAUCCUUGCUGCAUGGUGGGGGUUGGAAAGCUUCGGCGGUUUUGGAUGGACUCGCGGCUUAUCAGCUUGUUGGUGGGGUAGUGGCUUACCAAGGCUUUGACGGGUAGCCGGCCUGAGAGGGCGACCGGCCACAUUGGGACUGAGAUACGGCCCAGACUCCUACGGGAGGCAGCAGUGGGGAAUAUUGCACAAUGGGCGGAAGCCUGAUGCAGCAACGCCGCGUGCAGGAUGACGGCCUUCGGGUUGUAAACCGCUUUCAGCAGGGGCGAAGCUUGUGGUGACGGUACCUGCAGAAGAAGCACCGGCUAACUACGUG